GACGAACGCUGGCGGCGUGCCUAAUACAUGCAAGUUGAGCGAUGAAGCUUGGUGCUUGCCCCAAUUUGAAGAGCAGCGAACGGGUGAGUAACGCGUGGGGAAUCUGCCUUUGAGCGGGGGACAACAUUUGGAAACGAAUGCUAAUACCGCAUAACAACUUUAAACAUAAGUUUUAAGUUUGAAAGAUGCAAUUGCAUCACUCAAAGAUGAUCCCGCGUUGUAUUAGCUAGUUGGUGAGGUAAAGGCUCACCAAGGCGAUGAUACAUAGCCGACCUGAGAGGGUGAUCGGCCACAUUGGGACUGAGACACGGCCCAAACUCCUACGGGAGGCAGCAGUAGGGAAUCUUCGGCAAUGGACGAAAGUCUGGCCGAGCAACGCCGCGUGAGUGAAGAAGGUUUUCGGAUCGUAAAACUCUGUUGGUAGAGAAGAACGUUGGUGAGAGUGGAAAGCUCAUCAAGUGACGGUAACUACCCAGAAAGGGACGGCUAACUACGUG
Molecule: ribosomal RNA, 497 nt
Filed under: uncultured bacterium
Lineage: Bacteria
Description: partial 16S ribosomal RNA
Rfam family: Bacterial small subunit ribosomal RNA
Source: RNAcentral